RNAcentral lists this non-coding RNA (93 nucleotides) under Marmota marmota marmota (Alpine marmot). Lineage: Eukaryota; Metazoa; Chordata; Mammalia; Rodentia; Sciuridae. The record is from RNAcentral. RNAcentral also lists the same sequence under 1 other name.
GUGCUUGCUUUAGUACUACAUAUCCUAAUAGAAGACUAGCAUGACCCCUGCAGAAGGACAACAGGCACAUUUUAUGAAGUGUUUUAUGGUUUU